CGAACGGGUGAGUAACGCGUGAGCAAUCUACCUUAGUUACAGGGAUAGCCCGAGGAAACUCGGAUUAAUACCUGAUAUUCUUUAUUUCUCGCAUGAGAAUAAAAGGAAAGGUCAGCCGAACUAAGAUGAGCUCGCGUUCUAUCAGCUAGUUGGUGAGGUAAAAGCUUACCAAGGCUACGACGGAUAGCUGGUCUGAGAGGACGAUCAGCCACACUGGGACUGAGACACGGCCCAGACUCCUACGGGAGGCUGCAGCAGGGAAUAUUGUGCAAUGAACGAAAGUUUGACACAGCGACACCGCGUGUGGGAUGACGGAUCUAGGUUUGUAAACCACUUUCAGGAGGGAAGAAAAUGACGGUACCUCCACAAGAAGCCCCGGCCAACUACGUGCCAGCAGCCGCGGUAAUACGUAGGGGGCGAGCGUUGUCCGGAUUUAUUGGGCGUAAAGAGCUCGUAGGCGGUUCAACAAGUCGGUCGUGAAAGUUCAGGGCUCAACCCUGAAAUGUCGAUCGAUACUGUUGUGACUAGGAUACGGUAGAGGUGAGUGGAAUUCCGAGUGUAGCGGUGAAAUGCGUAGAUAUUCGGAGGAACACCAAUUGCGAAGGCAGCUCACUGGGCCGCUAUCGACGCUGAGGAGCGAAAGCUAGGGGAGCAAACAGGAUUAGAUACCCUGGUAGUCCUAGCUGUAAACGAUGACAACUAGCUGUUGGAAGA
Molecule: ribosomal RNA, 714 nt
Filed under: uncultured Actinomycetes bacterium
Lineage: Bacteria; Bacillati; Actinomycetota; Actinomycetes
Description: bacterial SSU rRNA
Rfam family: Bacterial small subunit ribosomal RNA
Source: RNAcentral